This 127-nucleotide small RNA is filed under the name Marmota monax (woodchuck). The record is from RNAcentral. Lineage: Eukaryota; Metazoa; Chordata; Mammalia; Rodentia; Sciuridae.
GCCGGGUGUGAUGGCGCAUGCCUGUCAUCCCAGCAGCUCAGGAGGCUGAGGCAGGAGGAUCGCAAGUUCAAAGCCAGCCUCAACAACGUAGUGAGGCCCUAAGCAACUCAGCGAGACCCCGUCUCUA